UUUGGUGGCUUUUGCAGAGCUACAGGAAGAACUUUGGCUUUUGGAACACUAGAACCAUGUCAGGAUAACAUACUCCCUUGGAUUAUCAUCGGACUCGCAAGACCAGACUCCAACACGGGCUGAAAAUUUGAAAUGGGACCUGACACUCUUGGACACAGAUGUCGGCUACGGCAGCGGCUUCAAAUACGCUUUGGUGACCAUAUUUCUAAUCGAGAGUUGUGCGAACGAGCCAGACAAACCAGCUGGGAGGAGGACGGAAGCACCCCUUCUCCAUCCGCGUUCAGUUGCUAAAUACGGAUCCACCCCGUAGUGUGGUGUUUUCCAUAGCUGUUCCUUGCUCCUGUUUCACAACAUAUCAAGGCUGCCAAGUAAAUGAAGAAUGAAUCACCGCACACUGGUCAACAGCCGACAGGGUCCUUCCACAACCACAUACUUAUGCCAGUAAAAGCCACAGCUUUUCUCCUCCAAUCCAAGAAGCCUGGACUGCAGUCACCAUCUCAACACACCAACCAAGAGAAAGGCGGAUGGCUCAAUUCAAUAUGGAAAAUUGCACAAUAAAAGUUCCAGGACAAGAAGGCUGCAUACUGUGAACGUCAACCUUCAGGGCACCGUCCUGCGCAGAAGACUUUCUACCCUAAGAGGGAUGGCUGACCGCAGACACUCACAACCAGCACAGACGCCUCCAACCUCAAACUAGGCCCUUCACAGUUGCUGCACUUACCCACCUUCCCAGAGUUUUUGUGUGGUAAUGACAACUGUAAAUAUAGUAUAAAGUAAUGUAUCUAGUGUCAUGUGUAAUACAUUGUUUAAAUUGUCCAUACAUUUCAAUGACAGUAAAUAUUGGUGGACACAAUUUGACUGUGUGGCUUUUUUUAAUUCAUUCUCUGACUGAAAAUGCAUGGUUACAUAAUUUA
Long non-coding RNA from Engraulis encrasicolus (European anchovy), 914 nucleotides. RefSeq lists it as uncharacterized. NCBI's taxonomy places the organism in Eukaryota, Metazoa, Chordata, Actinopteri, Clupeiformes, Engraulidae. The transcript has 6 exons. The record is from RefSeq and is a predicted model, not a curated record.